AAGGUAAUGGCUAUGAUCUAUUCUGAUGAAGGUGGUGUCCUUACCAAUUUUUUUGGAUGAGGAAGAACUCGACCCUGUCGAGUCUGGAUCAGCUUGAUCGUGACGGAACUCAAGUAGCUCUGGAUCGAUCUUCUGCAGCUCCUCUUGAGUAAUCCAUGAAUCUUCUGACUCUAGCCUUCCUCACCAUCGAACCAGGUAGCAACAGUAGUCUCAUCUCCUGGUGGACACGGUCUGUUCUUCCAGAAUGCGUUCGAUUGAGUCGUGCUUUUUAUUUACUUUGGCUUGGAGACAUUCGGAUGGGGGUUUGCUUUCAAAAGAAGGUACAGACUCAAAAGGAUCACUGGGUAUCAUUAUUGGUUCUUUGUAUGCUAUCAGAUCAGAAACAUUAAGAGUAGAGCCAAAAUCAUAA
This 409-nucleotide long non-coding RNA is filed under the name Elaeis guineensis (African oil palm). RNAcentral describes it as "long non-coding RNA (EGUI_LNC002356)". The record is from RNAcentral. Lineage: Eukaryota; Viridiplantae; Streptophyta; Magnoliopsida; Arecales; Arecaceae.